AGUUCAGGAGGGACAAGGACGUGGAAGGAGCCCAGCAGAGGGCACCCGGGACCCCCGCGGCCGGGCCGAGUUUGAAGGGAGCCCCUCUCCCCCUCCCCCUGGCGGAGCCCCCUGUAGGGUCUGACCUGGUGCCCCGCAACAGGAGCGGGAGGAGGAGCAGGCCCAGAGCGGCCGGGCCCCAGCCUAGAGGGGCGCUCGAGGGGAAGCGAGUGAAGUGAGGGCUCCGCCAGAGCAGCACCCCCUUCCCCGCCGUCCCUCCCGGACUGGCCGGUUCUCGUCAGAGAUUCCUUUGUCUUCGACGCUGGUCCCUCCACACCAAGAUGAAGAAAUUGAGAAACAGAAAGUAUGAUGAUUUGCUUAAGACCAGAUGACAAUUAUCUGCAGAAUGAAGACAAUCCUGACCUCCAUCAGUGGAUCCCUUCGCCACCUCCACAGUCUCCCCAUUGCAUGGACACAGACACAUGACAGAUGCACACAUAUGUGCAAAACACUUAUACAGAACACACUCCUCCACCUCCACCUCACUACCACGCAAUCCCAAGACAGCAUUGCCCUUCUCUGGACCCAGCCACUCGGUCAACACAUAUUUACGAACAUUAUGCUAGGCACUGGCAAUAAAAUAAUGAACACCAGAAGACACAGUUCCUGAGUCUCACAGAGAUGACCCAGGAUCAUUCAGAGUCUAGGAUGAGGCAGGGAUUAGGUGGGGAUGAGGAUGAUAAGAGCAGCGUUGGGGAAGUACAGGAUAAGAUGAGAACACACACCAAGGGCACCUAACUUUUUCUCUGGAGGACCAG
RNAcentral lists this long non-coding RNA (797 nucleotides) under Homo sapiens (human). RNAcentral's name for it is "HSALNT0314110". The record is from RNAcentral. Lineage: Eukaryota; Metazoa; Chordata; Mammalia; Primates; Hominidae.